AAAAAAAAAAAGAAGAAGCUGCAGAGAUAUUGGGAUUGAAGAUGGAGUCUCUUCGUAUUGCACGGGAACACAAAGUCAAGAUUUGACUUGCUGACAAACACGGAAGAGAAGCAAAAUGCAGGAUUCCUUCAUGGAAAGAUGGGGUGAGGAGCAGGACAGCCUGGCUGAAGGCUCAGCACCGUGCUGGCAGAGCAGGAUGUGGCGCUUACUUCGGUGGAGUUACGCCAGGAAUGGACUUGGCCCCAGCCUGUCUGAGGGUUAUUGUAUCUGCAUUCCCCCAUGCAUACACUGUCGAGAUGUAUUAACUUCCUUAAAUGUACCAGUAAAACAACCUCUUAUGAUACACUUUAAUGAACUUGUACAGUAGCCAACAAAUUGUGCAUCAUAUAAAACCCAUUCGGCCUUA
This is a long non-coding RNA of Pogoniulus pusillus (Red-fronted tinkerbird), 406 nucleotides long. RefSeq lists it as uncharacterized. The transcript has 2 exons. NCBI's taxonomy places the organism in Eukaryota, Metazoa, Chordata, Aves, Piciformes, Lybiidae. The record is from RefSeq and is a predicted model, not a curated record.